GACGAACGCUGGCGGCGUGCCUAAUACAUGCAAGUCGAGCGGACGGAUGGGAGCUUGCUCCCAGACCGUCAGCGGCGGACGGGUGAGUAACACGUGGGCAACCUGCCUGUAAGACUGGGAUAACUCCGGGAAACCGGGGCUAAUACCGGAUAACUCUUUCCCUCCCUUGAGGGAAAGCUGAAAGAUGGCAUCUCGCUAUCACUUACAGAUGGGCCCGCGGCGCAUUAGCUAGUUGGUGAGGUAACGGCUCACCAAGGCGACGAUGCGUAGCCGACCUGAGAGGGUGAUAGGCGACACUGGGACUGAGACACGGCCCAGACUCCUACGGGAGGCAGCAGUAGGGAAUCUUACGCAAUGGACGAAAGUCUGACGGAGCAACGCCGCGUGAGUGAUGAAGGUUUUCGGAUCGUAAAACUCUGUUGUCAGGGAAGAACAAGUACCGGAGUAACUGCCGGUACCUUGACGGUACCUGACCAGAAAGCAACGGCUAACUACGUG
This 498-nucleotide ribosomal RNA is filed under the name uncultured bacterium. RNAcentral describes it as "partial 16S ribosomal RNA". It matches the Rfam family "Bacterial small subunit ribosomal RNA", at positions 28 to 507 of the family's 1533-position model. The record is from RNAcentral.